RNAcentral lists this long non-coding RNA (1567 nucleotides) under Pogona vitticeps (central bearded dragon). RNAcentral describes it as "lncRNA (ENSPVIG00000014833.1)". The record is from RNAcentral. Lineage: Eukaryota; Metazoa; Chordata; Lepidosauria; Squamata; Agamidae.
AUGUCAGACCCACGGAUCCAGGUGGCGGUCCCCGCUCUGAGCUUUGUGCUUGUGCAGAUUUGGGGGGGGGGCUGCCUGGCAGGCAAGCAAGAUGGUGUGGGGAAGGGAGUCACAAAGAGGGACCACCUGGCCCUGUCACACCAGGAGAACUCCGACCUUCGCGCCAAGGUGGAGCGCCUGGAGGCCAGCCUGCAGCAGAAGGUGGAGGAGCUGAUGGGGCUGGAGGGCCAGAUGGACCGGCUGCGGUGGCGCAAGGAGGAGGAGGCGCGCCGCUUGGAGGAGGACCUGCGGGGGCUCCGGCUCUCCCUGGAGGCCCAGAAAGACUGGGCCCCCGAGGUGCAGUACAUCACCAAGACCGUGGAGGUGGACUCCCCGCGCACCCUGCAGGCUGUGGCCGACGCCGAGGAGCAGAACCGGAUGCUGGUGGAACAACUCGCGGGCCAGGCGGAGCAGUGCCGGCAGCUGACGGAGCGGCUGCACAGCUCCGAGGAGAUCGCAGCUGGCCUGAGGCUCAAGGUAGGUCGGGCCUGGGUUCGAGGGAGUGCUGCGUGGCUGCGGAGCCGCUGAUUCCAUAAGGCUGAAGGUUGAAGCCGAGGGUUCUUUCAAGGAACUGCGGAUUGAGGUUCAAGACUCUGGAAGCAAUAAGCCCCCAUCCUGCACACUGGAAAGACCAUUAUCUCAGGGUGCAUGAGGGCUAGAGACGUCAGCCUAAGAUUCAGUCUCAAAAGAAGUGCAAAAUGGGGACGAAACAGGUAACAUAUUGGCAGUUACUGAGGUGUUAAACAGCUUUCUCUUUCUCGGAGGCUUAUGAAGGGCAGCUGGCUAAGCAGAGGGGUGCCCAUACAGUGUCUAACGGACCAUGCGCCUGAAGUCUAACACAUUAAAACGCAUUGAGCCGGUACAAGUUACUGCAGGAGAGAGAGAGAAAGGCUAGAAAUGGACAGAAGCAAUGACUGGUAGAUAAUUUGGUUUCAUUUUACACAACAAGAUUCUGAUGAGGAGCAAUCUAGCUGAGCAUAAGAAUGUGGGAUUUCAGCGGCAGGGGUCGGAUGAGCCACAUCAUUUCCCUCAGGGCCAUUUCCUCUUUUGGGGGGUGGGGGGGAUGGGUCGUUCACUUGGGUGCCAGAUCCGGAGUCUGAAAUGACCUCCUGGACAAAAUCUGGAGCCUUGCCUUCUGCUUUGGGUCACAGGGCUUCAAGGAAGAAGGAGAUGAAGAUGUUGAGAAGGGCAGGGGAUCCUUUGGGGAAGGGCUAUAGAGCAGCCAGGAAGCACAGAAGAAAAAAAGGAGGAAGGGAGACAGAAUAUUUAGCAAUGGGGGCAAAGCGACUCUCUUGGCCUGUGUUUCCGGCGUGGGGGGGGGAAUGGUGAGCGGGAGCUGAGAUGGAGCUGAAGAGGAGGGGAAGGGAAGGGAAGCCGUCCCGUUUCUCAAGGGGCUUAAGCCACCCGAAGGGCAAACACCAGGGACUAAUAGGCAGGACAACAAGGAAUGCUAUCAGGCCAGCUGGUCGGGUGGUUAAAGUGGCCGAAUGGGGCUCGGGAAAGCCUGGUUCUAGACCAGCCAUGGCGA